ACAGGGAUUGCCCUAGUAACGGCGAGUGAAGCGGCAACAGCUCAAAUUUGAAAUCUGGCGUCUUUGGCGUCCGAGUUGUAAUUUGCAGAGGGCGCUUUGGCGUUGGCAGCGGUCCAAGUUCCUUGGAACAGGACGUCACAGAGGGUGAGAAUCCCGUACGUGGUCGCUGGCCUUCGCCGUGUAAAGCCCCUUCGACGAGUCGAGUUGUUUGGGAAUGCAGCUCUAAAUGGGAGGUAAAUUUCUUCUAAAGCUAAAUACUGGCCAGAGACCGAUAGCGCACAAGUAGAGUGAUCGAAAGAUGAAAAGCACUUUGGAAAGAGAGUCAAACAGCACGUGAAAUUGUUGAAAGGGAAGCGCUUGCAGCCAGACUUGCCUGUAGUUGCUCAUCCGGACUUUUGUCCGGUGCACUCUUCUAUAGGCAGGCCAGCAUCAGUUUGGGCGGUUGGAUAAAGGUCUCUGUCAUGUACCUCUCUUCGGGGAGAACUUAUAGGGGAGACGACAUGCAACCAGCCUGGACUGAGGUCCGCGCAUCUGCUAGGAUGCUGGCGUAAUGGCUGUAAGCGGCCCGUCUUGAAACACGGACCAAGGAGUCUAACAUCUAUGCGAGUGUUUGGGUGUCAAGCCCGAGCGCGCAAUGAAAGUGAACGGAGGUGGGAACCUUUCGGGGUGCACCAUCGACCGAUCCUGAUGUCUUCGGAUGGAUUUGAGUAAGAGCAUAGCUGUUGGGACCCGAAAGAUGGUGAACUAUGCUUGAAUAGGGUGAAGCCAGAGGAAACUCUGGUGGAGGCUCGCAGCGGUUCUGACGUGCAAAUCGAUCGUCAAAUUUGGGCAUAGGGGCGAAAGACUAAUCGAACUAUCUAGUAGCUGGUUCCUGCCGAAGUUUCCCUCAGGAUAGCAGUGACGUAUUCAGUUUUAUGAGGUAAAGCGAAUGAUUAGAGGCCUGGGGGUUGAAACAACCUU
This 960-nucleotide ribosomal RNA is filed under the name Neoascochyta sp. CBS 876.72. Its description in RNAcentral is "eukaryotic LSU rRNA". It matches the Rfam family "Eukaryotic large subunit ribosomal RNA", at positions 68 to 1048 of the family's 3401-position model. RNAcentral also lists the same sequence under 1 other name. The record is from RNAcentral. Lineage: Eukaryota; Fungi; Ascomycota; Dothideomycetes; Pleosporales; Didymellaceae.